AUUGAACGCUGGCGGCAGGCCUAACACAUGCAAGUCGAACGAGCGGCGGACGGGUGAGUAAUGUCUGGGAAUCUGCCUGAUGGAGGGGGAUAACUACUGGAAACGGUAGCUAAUACCGCCUACCCUCAGCUGUGCCCAGAUGGGAUUAGCUUGGUGGUGGGGUAACGGCUCACCAAGGCGACGACCCCUAGCUGGUCUGAGAGGAUGACCAGCCACACGGGAACUGAGACACGGUCCAGACUCCGACGGGAGGCAGCAGUGGGGAAUAUUGCACAAGGGGCGCAAGCCUGAUGCAGCCAUGCCGCGUGUAUGAAGAAGGCCUUCGGGUUGUAAAGUACUUUCAGCGGGGAGGCGUUACCCGCAGAAGAAGCACCGGCUAACUCCGUGCCAGCCGCCGCGGUAAUUC
Molecule: ribosomal RNA, 406 nt
Filed under: uncultured bacterium
Lineage: Bacteria
Description: partial 16S ribosomal RNA
Rfam family: Bacterial small subunit ribosomal RNA
Source: RNAcentral